CUUGCUGGGUGGAUUAGUGGCGAACGGGUGAGUAACACGUGAGUAACCUGCCCUUGACUCUGGGAUAAGCCCGGGAAACUGGGUCUAAUACCGGAUAGGAGCGCCUGUCGCAUGACGGGUGUUGGAAAGAUUUUUCGGUCAUGGAUGGACUCGCGGCCUAUCAGCUUGUUGGUGAGGUAAUGGCUCACCAAGGCGACGACGGGUAGCCGGCCUGAGAGGGUGACCGGCCACACUGGGACUGAGACACGGCCCAGACUCCUACGGGAGGCAGCAGUGGGGAAUAUUGCACAAUGGGCGGAAGCCUGAUGCAGCGACGCCGCGUGAGGGAUGACGGCCUUCGGGUUGUAAACCUCUUUCAGUAGGGAAGAAGCGAAAGUGACGGUACCUGCAGAAGAAGCACCGGCUAACUACGUGCCAGCAGCCGCGGUAAUACGUAGGGUGCGAGCGUUAUCCGGAAUUAUUGGGCGUAAAGAGCUCGUAGGCGGUUUGUCGCGUCUGUCGUGAAAGUCCGGGGCUUAACCCCGGAUCUGCGGUGGGUACGGGCAGACUAGAGUGCAGUAGGGGAGACUGGAAUUCCUGGUGUAGCGGUGGAAUGCGCAGAUAUCAGGAGGAACACCGAUGGCGAAGGCAGGUCUCUGGGCUGUAACUGACGCUGAGGAGCGAAAGCAUGGGGAGCGAACAGGAUUAGAUACCCUGGUAGUCCAUGCCGUAAACGUUGGGCACUAGGUGUGGGGACCAUUCCACGGUUUCCGCGCCGCAGCUAACGCAUUAAGUGCC
This 777-nucleotide ribosomal RNA is filed under the name Micrococcus sp. BAL310. RNAcentral's name for it is "bacterial SSU rRNA". It matches the Rfam family "Bacterial small subunit ribosomal RNA", at positions 79 to 868 of the family's 1533-position model. Lineage: Bacteria; Bacillati; Actinomycetota; Actinomycetes; Micrococcales; Micrococcaceae. The record is from RNAcentral.